AUUCCAGCUCCAAUAGCGUAUAUUAAAGUUGUUGCGGUUAAAAAGCUCGUAGUUGGAGUUCUGCCAGGUGACGCUCGUCCGCCCAAGUGGUGUGUACAGGGCGUGCAUCUGGCCCUUUCAAGGGGAACGUGUCUGCUCUUUAUUGAGUGGUGCGAGAUCCUUGACUUUUACUUUGAGGAAAUCAGAGUGUUCCAAGCAGGCUCUCGUCGUGUAUAGCUCAGCAUGGAAUAAUAGCAUUGGACUUCGUUUCUACGCUGUUGGUUUGAGGGACUGCAGUAAUGAUUAAUAGGGAUAGUUGGGGGCAUUAGUAUUUAAUUGUCAGAGGUGGAAUUCUCGGAUUUGUUAAAGACUAACUUAUGCGAAAGCAUUCGCCAAGGAUGUUUUCAUUA
Molecule: ribosomal RNA, 389 nt
Filed under: Syndiniales sp.
Lineage: Eukaryota; Dinophyceae; Syndiniales
Description: partial small subunit ribosomal RNA
Rfam family: Eukaryotic small subunit ribosomal RNA
Source: RNAcentral